UCCUCCUCAGAGGCUCAAAGCUUUGUAACCCACAGUUCUUGCAAACAAAGGCCUGGAUAACUGGAGGAGCUGCGGUGUGAUGGAGCAUCUCUCCCACCCCUGUAGGUGGCUCUGUGAUGAAAAUGGGGGUAUGUGGGCUGGGGGCCCUCUCCCGAGGAACUGCCACCUCUUACAGAAGUGAUGUGACUGUCAGUGGAUCUGCCGCCUCCCAAACCAACCAAACCCCAAGUUCCCUGUCAUGCUGGCUCUGCCACGGCAGAGCAUGAUUGAAAUUGCUGAAAGAUAUCCAGAUCCUUAAGCUAAACUGAAAGAUGUUUGAGAAUAAUUUUCACACACUUCUAUCCUGUGACUAUUUUAGCAGAGCAUAGACAUAUAUAGACCUAAGCCAAACUUGGGUGCUGUGGAAUAAUGAGUGCAAGGUGGGCAUGUACACCACAGGCAUGCAGUGCCUAUGGAGGCCAGAAGAAGGCAGAAGAUCCUCUGGGAGUACAGUUACAGAUGGUUGCAAGUCACCAUGUGAGGGCUGGGGCAACCAGUGUUCUAAACUGAUGAGCCAUCUUUCCAGCUUCAGUAAUGUUCUUCUAAAUAGACCUAAUAACAUACUGAAUGCAUGGAGACUGGAAAAGAACUCCAGGAAGAUGCUAGGAGAAUACAACAUGUAAAACAGCAGGCAGUAUAUGAAAACUGUUCAGCAUCACUCAUCAACAGGGCUCAGUAUGCUAUCCUCAGGGGAGCCCAUUACACCUGUUAAAAUGGCUGCUAUCAACAAGACAAAAGACAAAUGGUUUUGUGCAGAACAUUGAGAGUGGAACUUACACACUUUCGUGGCUUGCAAAAUAGUAUAGUCAUCGUAGGCAGUAGUACGAGGAUUCCUCAUAAAGUUAACAAGCACAGUGACAGUAAAUGAAUGAAAACUUGAUUACUGUGAUUUAUCCAUACAAAGUGGCAUAAAUAUGCCAAGAGAUACUUGUACCCUUUCUUUACUGCAGUCUUAUCCAUAAGGGCCAAAAUGAUGAAAUGAACGUAGAUGUCCACAUGCAGAUGAAUGAUGAAGGAAAUAUGGUGUACCAUAGAAUGCUGUCUGGCCAUUUAGAAGAGGAAACCCCACCAUUUGUGACAAUGAGGAUGACUCUGAAGGACACCAGGCACAGAACCACAAACAUGGCAUGAUCUCUCUAGAAGAAGAAUUUAAAAAUGCCGACUCUGUGAAAUGGCAGUUAUGAGGAUCUGGCUUGGGUAGCAUGCAGCAGGACCAAAGAAGUGCUGAUCAGAGGGUGCAUUCUUAUUGCAAAAAAGUUAAGUAUGUGAUAUUAAAUAUAUUACCUAAGUGUAGUUUUCAUUCUUUAGUGUUUCAUAUUUUAAAUCACUGUAUGUAAUGAAAGCAUAAAUAGUAUGUUCUGUUAGUUAAAAAAAUUAAUAGUCAGAGAUAAGAUAAUUUAUAAGGAGAAAAAUAGCAAGCAUUUUCCCCAAAGGUUGAUCUUUUUGAAUAUAAGGCAAAGCAAUUUGAUUUCCAUAUGAGGAUGGCUGAUGACUAAUAGCUAAUGUCCGAUGAAUAGCUAAUCUCCAUCUGAUAUCAGAAAACAGGUUGACUAUAUACAAAAGAGAUAUUAAAUUAAUUGAAGUCCUAGGGAAAAAUGAUGCUGAGCAUUUGUGAUUGUUUCUGGGUUUCCAAGACAAUUGCUAGAGACAGCUGCAUGAUUCAUUUUCUUAGAAUCAAGGAACAUUUAAGAUUGUGAGAGAUUAAUAAAGAGUCAUUCUAAACUCCUUUAGUUUAAUCCUUUACUGCUAAAUGUAUAAUAAUGUUUCACUUUUUCAUUUAAUAUUAUAAAUUCACAUACAUUUAACACAACUCUUCUGACAAUAAUCAUGCAAGUCCUUACUCUGAGUGUAAACUAGCCAAUAGGUUUCUUUCCCACCUGACCUCUUUUUUUUUUAUUACUGUUAAGUGUGAAUAGAUAUUUGCCUGUGUAAUCAAGGAUCCACUCUUGAUACAGGAUUAAUCACUAUUUCCUAAAUGCUUUUUGAGUCCACCUUUAAUCACACCUAAGACAUCAGCUGAUCACUCACAAACUACAAAUGCUCAGGGCGUCAGACAAUGUGGCAGUCCAUCUUCUCUUACCAUCUAAUAGGAGGGGCAAUGAGCUGAAUUGGAGGUAAAGAGCCUGCCUCCAAGCCUGAGAACCCGAGUUCAAUGCCAGGGUCCCACAUGGUGGAAGGACAGAACCUAGUGCUGGUUGUUUCCCUCAC
Long non-coding RNA from Peromyscus californicus insignis, 2247 nucleotides. RefSeq lists it as uncharacterized. The transcript is spliced from 3 exons. The record is from RefSeq and is a predicted model, not a curated record. Lineage: Eukaryota; Metazoa; Chordata; Mammalia; Rodentia; Cricetidae.